RNAcentral lists this ribosomal RNA (508 nucleotides) under uncultured bacterium. RNAcentral's name for it is "bacterial SSU rRNA". It matches the Rfam family "Bacterial small subunit ribosomal RNA", at positions 397 to 896 of the family's 1533-position model. The record is from RNAcentral.
CCGCGUGAGCGAAGAAGGCCUUCGGGUCGUAAAGCUCUGUUGUUAGGGAAGAACAAGUACGAGAGUAACUGCUCGUACCUUGACGGUACCUAACCAGAAAGCCACGGCCAACUCUGUGCCAGCAGCCGCGGUAAGACAGAGGGGGCAAGCGUUGCUCGGAAUCACUGGGCGUAAAGGGCGCGUAGGCGGGAUGGCAAGUCAGUCGUGAAAUCUCUCGGCUCAACCGAGAAACGUCGGCUGAUACUGCCGUUCUUGAGGGAUGCAGAGGAGACUGGAAUUCCCGGUGUAGCGGUGAAAUGUGUAGAGAUCGGGAGGAACACCGGUGGCGAAGGCGGGUCUCUGGGCAUCUCCUGACGCUGAGGCGCGAAAGCGUGGGGAGCAAACGGGAUUAGAUACCCCGGUAGUCCACGCUGUAAACGAUGACGACUAGGUGUGGGGUGGUUCAGUCCAUUCCGUGCCGCAGCUAACGCAUUAAGUCGUCCGCCUGGGGAGUACGGCCGCAAGGUUG